Molecule: transfer RNA, 82 nt
Filed under: Phycisphaerae bacterium
Lineage: Bacteria; Pseudomonadati; Planctomycetota; Phycisphaerae
Also listed under: 1 other name
Description: tRNA-Leu
Rfam family: tRNA
About the family: Transfer RNA (tRNA) molecules are approximately 80 nucleotides in length. Their secondary structure includes four short double-helical elements and three loops (D, anti-codon, and T loops).
Source: RNAcentral
GCGAGGGUGGCGGAAUUGGCAGACGCGCCAGGUUUAGGUCCUGGUGCCGCAAGGCGUGCAGGUUCGAGUCCUGUCCCUCGCA